UACGUAGGGUGCAAGCGUUAAUCGGAAUUACUGGGCGUAAAGCGUGCGUAGGUGGUGAGUUAAGUCUGAUGUGAAAUCCCCGGGCUCAACCUGGGAAUGGCAUUGGAUACUGGCUCGCUAGAGUGCGGUAGAGGGUGGUGGAAUUCCCGGUGUAGCAGUGAAAUGCGUAGAGAUCGGGAGGAACAUCUGUGGCGAAGGCGGCCACCUGGACCAACACUGACACUGAGGCACGAAAGCGUGGGGAGCAAACAGG
RNAcentral lists this ribosomal RNA (253 nucleotides) under uncultured bacterium. RNAcentral describes it as "partial 16S ribosomal RNA". It matches the Rfam family "Bacterial small subunit ribosomal RNA", at positions 524 to 776 of the family's 1533-position model. The record is from RNAcentral.